UCGGGCAACUUUUUCUCGCUUCUGAGUGGCCGAACGAGUCAGAUGCGGAAAGACAAACAAGCCAACUCAGCUUGCAGGUAAGGCCUGUUUCCUGCACUAAUUGUACACAUUUUUUGUGAAUUUCUCUAAAAACAAAUGGUUAAAAGUUGCACCCUAAGCCAUAUAAAACACAGGUCAAAGUUUUAAAAGUCUCUACUGGUCUGCCCCCCAAAAGAGCUUGAUGUGGGAAUAAGGCAAACAUAACGAGAGUCAAAAGACAAGUUCUACGAGGAGCUCGACGCGGCUGUCAACACCAUCCCGAAAAAUGAGCAUCUGAUACUUCUGGGAGACUUCAAUGCCAGGAGGAGCAGAAGCAAAUAAACUUGGACCUGUCAUAAAUGGCUGCUGAAAGACGACACCGCGGAACGUCUCAAGCUUUGCCGUCCAUCAAUACCCACAG
This is a long non-coding RNA of Nerophis ophidion (straightnose pipefish), 439 nucleotides long. RefSeq lists it as uncharacterized. The record is from RefSeq and is a predicted model, not a curated record. NCBI's taxonomy places the organism in Eukaryota, Metazoa, Chordata, Actinopteri, Syngnathiformes, Syngnathidae. The transcript has 3 exons.